This 303-nucleotide ribosomal RNA is filed under the name uncultured bacterium. RNAcentral's name for it is "partial 16S ribosomal RNA". It matches the Rfam family "Bacterial small subunit ribosomal RNA", at positions 507 to 807 of the family's 1533-position model. The record is from RNAcentral.
AGCAGUCGCCGCGGUAAUACGAAGGGGGCUAGCGUUGUUCGGAUUUACUGGGCGUAAAGCGCACGUAGGCGGACUUUUAAGUCAGGGGUGAAAUCCCGGGGCUCAACCCCGGAACUGCCUUUGAUACUGGAAGUCUUGAGUAUGGUAGAGGUGAGUGGAAUUCCGAGUGUAGAGGUGAAAUUCGUAGAUAUUCGGAGGAACACCAGUGGCGAAGGCGGCUCACUGGACCAUUACUGACGCUGAGGUGCGAAAGCGUGGGGAGCAAACAGGAUUAGAGACCCCGGUAGUCCCUGUCUCUUAUAC